Molecule: unclassified non-coding RNA, 377 nt
Filed under: uncultured Bacillaceae bacterium
Lineage: Bacteria; Bacillati; Bacillota; Bacilli; Caryophanales; Bacillaceae
Description: contains 16S-23S intergenic spacer region
Source: RNAcentral
CCCGGUUUGUCACCGGCAGUCACCUUAGAGUGCCCAACUGAAUGCUGGCAACUAAGAUUAAGGGUUGCGCUCGUUACGGGACUUAACCCAACAUCUCACGACACGAGCUGACGACAACCAUGCACCACCUGUCACUCUGUCCCCGAAGGGAAAACUCUAUCUCUAGAGUGUUCAGAGGAUGUCAAGACCUGGUAAGGUUCUUCGCGUUGCUUCGAAUUAAACCACAUGCUCCACCGCUUGUGCGGGCCCCCGUCAAUUCUUUUGAGUUUCAGCCUUGCGGCCGUACUCCCCAGGCGGAGUGCUUAUUGCGUUAACUUCAGCACUAAGGGGCGGAAACCCCCUAACACCUAGCACUCAUCGUUUACGGCGUGGACUAC